RNAcentral lists this long non-coding RNA (2138 nucleotides) under Phoenix dactylifera (date palm). Its description in RNAcentral is "long non-coding RNA (PDAC_LNC013297)". Lineage: Eukaryota; Viridiplantae; Streptophyta; Magnoliopsida; Arecales; Arecaceae. The record is from RNAcentral.
GGGGAAGCCGAAAUGAACUGUAAAAUUAUUCAUUCAAUAGCUUGUGACGCUGUAUAUUGUUAUUGAGCUGCAGAGUUCAUCUCAUCUGACAGAUCUUUUCCCACAUGAAUCCAAUUGGUAAAUGCCCACAAUUUUUGAACGAAAUUUUGAAAAUGCUUGCCACCUGUUUCAAGCCUACUCAGUUUUUAACACCAUGCAGUAUGUAAGAUUUAAGACCCUUAUGUAAUUUUUUUUUUUAACGCAAUUGCAUGGGACACUUCAAAAAUGCAUGGAAACAGCAUGUUGAAAAUACGCCCAUUCACACCAGGAUGUGGUUACUUCCCUACAAUUUCAGAGUCAUUCAUUGCUUGCAUGUGAUUUACCUUACCUCCAGAGAUCAAACAAAUGUGACGAUGGGAUCAACCAUCCAAGCAUCAUAAGCUGGCCUCUCCAUCUGGAAAUGCCCUACUCCUUAAAGUAGAUGGGUUUCAGCUCGGCAAGCUCUAGAUUCCAGCUUAUGUUGCAACUGCUUUACAGUCGUGAACGCAGUUUUUGUGGCCAUGUUGAAAAGCUUAGGUUUCUUGGACCAUAGGAUUGCUUCAUGAUGCCUCCCGGAAAGGAUGGAUGCUGAACCCGCAAGCGAUGCUCCUGUUCAAGGGAUCAGAGGGUAGAAGCAUAUAAUACCCUUGGACACAAAAAAACAACAACAAAAAAAAAAAGGAUGCUAGAAGCAGAAGCCUUAUGUUAAUCACAAGUUCUACAUGGCAUAUUCAGCUCAACAUUUGAAGUUUCAGCUAGAACCGAUCCGAAACUGAUGGAAAUUUUUCAACCAGUUUUGGUGCAAACUGAUCGAAAUUGUUAUUUUUUACUUUUUUUUUGUUUCACAAGUAAAUAUGUAUAAUGCUUUCUAAAAUUCGUCAAUAUAAUUUAGCCACACAUACUCAAGACUCCAAUGAACUAAUCCAUAUUAUUUUUGUCAAAACUUUGUUAUUGAAAUAGGUAAGAUGCAAUCUUAAUGCAUGUUUUUAAGUUAUAAACAACAUUGCAAUGUGUGAAAGUGAAGAUAAUUGUAAGUAUCUAGAAAAUUUGAUGUUAUUUUGAAAGGUGCAAUAUGCAAUUAAUUUUAUAAUAUUUGUCUUAUUGGCUUAUGAAUGACUGAGUGAUAUUUGAUAUUUUACUCAAUAUAAUAGCAUAUUCUUGUGAUAUGAUUAAUGCAUUAAGCUUCAACAAAAUUCAAUUUCACUCAAGAGAAUGCAAAUAACAUAUAUUAUUGACUAAACUGACAAAAAGCUCCCUAAUGAAAGGAAAUCUAGCAAAAUAUAGCAUCAGGAAUCUUCUGCAAUAAGUACUGAAUUAGGUCCAAACUUAAACACUUAGAUAAAAAGCUGAAGGUCUUUUGCUCUUACAUAGAACAUUAACAGUGAAAAUAUCAGCUCAAUUGUCUAUAAUGCAAUCAAGUUUGCUUUAUCUCCAUUUUUUCCAUUUCAUAUCUGUCUUUUAUAGCAUCUAGUAAAAUAUGAUAACAGAAACUUGACAAGCACUUGCUCCUAUUUCUUGGGACUAGACCCCUUCUCCUAAUGCCUAUAUGUUUAAUCCAUAAAGCUAAUUUAACAAGUUGCAUGUCUCUCCAUUCAAAUAAAAAAAGAGAGAGUUGCAUGUCUGAGCAACCAAUUGCAUGACUGACAUCAGAGGAAUAGCUUGGUGCAAGCAUGCAACCUAUUCGCCGUUUAGACCAAGCCUCUAAAACUGGACACAAUAAGUAAACAAAGCCAUGGUGCUCCCCUCAUGUAGAACACUAUUUGGCAUAAAAGACAGUUCACAUGCUCUCCACCACUUAGAUCUUCCAAUAACAUUCAUCCAAACACACAAUCCUGUAAGGAAUACUACUAUCUUAAGCCACAACAGAAAACAAUCAUCAAAUGUGGAAACACAAACAUAAAUUACUCGACACAGAAGUAUAGAACGCUUGAUCUGAUACGGAACUACACAACCUAAAGUGAAAGCAUAGCACAUAUUCUUUUCGGCCAAGACUUGACUUCAGUAUCACAACCAGUUACAUUAUGUCUUCUAGAGCCAAUUUCUUCUAAAUCCAUCAUAAAACCCAACCUCAAAACCACUGAAAAUCCCAUCUCAUCAAGCAAUAAGUCACUCUCUCAAAC